Molecule: ribosomal RNA, 459 nt
Filed under: uncultured bacterium
Lineage: Bacteria
Description: partial 16S ribosomal RNA
Rfam family: Bacterial small subunit ribosomal RNA
Source: RNAcentral
CCUACGGGAGACAGCAGUGAGGAAUAUUGGUCAAUGGCCGGAAGGCUGAACCAGCCAAGCCGCGUGAAGGAUGAAGGUGCCAAGCAUUGUAAACUUCUUUUGUCAAGGGACAAAAUCAGGCUCGAGAGCCUGACCGAGUGUACUUGAAGAAAAAGCAUCGGCUAACUCCGUGCCAGCAGCCGCGGUAAGACGGAGGAUGCGAGCGUUAUCCGGAUUUGUUGGGUUUAAGGGGUGCGUAGGCGGGCUGUUACGUCAGCGGUAAAAUCCCGGGGCUCAACCCCGGCGAGCCGUUGAAACUGGCUGUCUUGAGAUGUCGAGAGGUAUGCGGAAUGCGCAGUGUAGCAGUGAAAUGCUUAGAUAUUGCGAAGAACUGCGAUUGCGAAGGCAGCAUACCGGCGGCGAUCUGACGCUGAGGCACGAAAGCGUGGGUAUCGAACAGGAUUAGAUACCCUUGUAGUC